GUUUGGCAGUGGUACGGCAGGUGUAUUCUCAGCCAAGACUGGAGGUCAGUGAUCUUCUAGUUGUUCAGUAAUAUAAAAUACGUGUUGAAGAGAAGAGAAGGCUAGCUACAGUCAGUAUGCAUGACAUCAGUGAGAGCUUGUGAAUACACCCACCAGGUGACCAGACUGUUCCUGAUGUUAUCUGAUGCUAAAAGUAUGAACACUGGGUGCAGGUUUUAAGCCUUCAUUUACCUACUUAAGGAUUGGCCAGAUUUGCACAGCCAUAAUACUUGUUCAUGUAAGGGGUUCCAUAUAAACGAUACACAGGGUACAUGCAUGCAAGCUAUUGCUGGUUUGAGUUGUGAAUGACAAAGCACACUGACUAAUUUUCAGAGAGUAUUUUUGAAUACUCAGUGACUUUGAUAAAAGACACUCGUGUCAUUCCCAAGAUGAACUGGAAAAGUCUUUUCAUCCUGGUCGCUGCCUUCAUCUUGUACCUGGUGAUUGGAGCGUUAGUCUUCUCAGCCUUAGAAUCUACUCAAGAGGAGGAGACGAAGAUUGACCUGAGGGCCUACAAGGAGGCCAUCCUGUCUAAUUUCUCGUGCAUUUCAGAGGAAAGCUUAGAGCAAUUGGUGGAACGGAUCAUGAAUGCCGUGGAGAGUGGCGUCAAUCCACUCUCGAAUGUGUCCAGUAAGUCCAACUGGGACUUUAGUAGCUCCUUCUUCUUCUCUGGCACCGUGGUCACCACCAUAGGCUACGGUCGACGUGCACCCACUACCCAAGGCGGGAGGGACUUCUGUAUCCUCUAUGCCAUCUUUGGCAUACCGUUUACAGGAUGGUUGCUGUCUAUCGUGGGCCAAUUCUAUCGGGAGUCAUUUUGGGGCCUGACAGAGCGCCUAGAUUGCAUGCUCUGUGAUUACUGCUCUGUGACCAAACGGAAACUGCGUCGUUUCAUUGUGUGGUUGGUGGUGGCGUCUUUCACUUACGGCCUUCUAGUGCUUGCCCCUGCCGGAAUCUUCACCAUAUUGGAAAAUUGGAGUUACAGGAUUGCCCAUUAUUACUGCUUUAUCACCCUGACAACCAUUGGAUUUGGGGAUUUUGUUGCCACGGUAGACCCCAAACAACAAGCUCCUGAAGUGCUGGAGAUUGUCUAUGACCUUGCUGUUGUCGUCUGGUACAUUUUCGGUCUGUCUUUCAUUGCGAUAGUGAUCAGCGCCAUUGGGACAAGGGAGCGCAAAACUGCCAAGAAACUUGUGUCAACUCUCAAGAAUCAACAGAAUAGUUCACCAGGGGAGACAUCUCCCAAUAAGCGUGCUUCCUAUUCCUUGCAAAAUGCAAUUCGGUUAACCCUACAAGAUGGGAUUGUCGGGCCAGUGUCUUACCAUAAGGGACAAUCUUCCAAUGACCCACAAACUGAAGUACAUGUACCUUCAGAGGCUGCAUCAAAUAAACAAAAUAACAUGCUGCCAUCAACAUCACAGGAAACUCAGUCAGGCGUGAAUCCACAUUAUUCAGCCAAUAACAACAACGGCAAUGCAUUUAAUAGCCAAUCAGGGCUAGAGGCUGGUUAUGAGAUUCAGGAAUGUGACAGCGUGAACAUAAAGCUAAAUGUACUCAACACUGCUCUACCUCAGAAUGACAACAUGCAAAAAAAGAAAAAACCCCUGGGAAAGAAAGUCUCCUUUGACAGCAGUUGCAAUCCCAACGAUGGAACCAGUAAAAUUCGACGUAAGGCUACAGGCAAACGAAAGGGCUCUACGAGGAAAUCCAAAUUGGAAGUAGCUGGGGAGGAAGAUGAAAGUGGCGAGAAUAUACAAGUAGUAUCAUCAAGCACCAUUUCCAUGGCAACUGGAAAUCCUUGUUGCCAAUGUAAUUGCCACACCAAUUACAGCGAUGCAAGUCAGCAUGUCUUACCUUGAGUUCAGUCCAUUUGAUUCAAAGAAGACUCAAAGCUUUGCAUGAAUUAUGCUGAAUGUACAUGUAACUUUAAAGUUGUCAGAUUCUCAUUUCUGACGGACGGAGAGUGCGCAAUUGUUACAAACUGCCAGUGGAUAAAAGUUAAUUGCUUGAUGCCGCACCUUGUUCAAGGGACUACCAUAUAGGCAUGUUGGGAGUUCCUUCUACAUGUACGUGUAUGUACAUGUGUAGAUGAACCCAGAGUGUAUACCUGUACCAAAGCAUUUACUCAGAACAUUGGACACGUACAUACAUUUAACCCAGACCACUGAACUGAAAACACUGUAAUACACUAUGACUCAAAGAUACCGAACAUGUACGCAUACAUGUACAUUGAAGCCCAAACUAAACUGAGUGUCCAUGAUGCACACAUACAUGUACACUGUAUUUACCAACGUACCUUGGACAUGUUUGUGCAGCAUGCAUUUUCACUGUAAAUACUUGCAUCAUGAUACCCAACCACUGUAAAAUGUCUACAUAUUGAAAAUUUAAUGACAUUUGUUAUGAAAUUGAGAUUGAGAGGUCGUUGACUUACAAUAGAAAACACACUGCAUGAAUUGAUAGAGCUGUAAAGUGAGUCUAAUUCCCUGUGCACUUUGGACUUGUCAAAAUGGUGCAGACAUUAUCACCAUGCAGCUUGUUGUUGUACCGGUAGAUUAACCACUUGCUGCCGGGUGUAAUUUAACGUUGCAUGAUGUAAAACUGGGGAAUUUCAAGAUUUUCCGUUUUCAAAAUUCUUCAAAAAUCAUAUUUGCUGGACGCUUUUGUCGUAAUCCGCUUGCAUUGAAUGUCACAAACAGUGGUAUAAUCUUUCCAAACAAUGACAGAUCUCCUCUGCUAUUGACAACUGAAAAAAUGUUGGCAAUUCCCAACAGCUCGGUCUUUUGUUCCAAGUAUGGUCUUUUGUUAUAAGGCCCACAUUUCAAAGGGGUUUACAUUAAAAUAUGACAUACAUGUUGCAGGCUUCAAAGUUUCUAAAAUGGGGAGAACAAAAUGAUUAUCCUUGCUCACUAUAAAGCAUUGCCCUCAACUGGUUGGUGCAAAAAGAUUUCUUUCCUCGAUUUACACACAUGUACACCAAAGAUUACAAUCACACUCAGCAUUGCACAGUCUCCCAAAUACACACAGUAAAUUUGUAUUCAACUUGCAUUGUGGCUUGGAAUGCUACAAUGUAUCUCUUCGCAUGUAGAAAUUUGUCCAUGGUACAAAGGUAUUUGCUUUUAAUACUGCAGUGAUAUUCUGUGAGAUUUAAGUAUUACCUUUAAGCAUUGGCAGUUUAUUGUUAAUUUUUACACUAAAGCCAACACUGACAUUUAUGAAUUAAGUUCCUCUUUUUGUUUGAGGCUCUCAUCGCCAACUGAGUACCUUAAAUUUGGCCCUUGACUCAAAAAUCCUGUUUUUAUUCCACCCACACUGUCCAGAACAUCUGACCAAAUUAAGAAUCAAAGAAAUGAAAGAAGACGAUACCCUCAUUUUGUGGGAACAAAGCAGGUAAAAUACAUUUUCAUGUCCCGUAUUGCCAGCAGAUUACUACUUGUGCAUUUGCAACUUUAUCUGCAAAACUUAUACAAAAGUUCAAUAAGAGUGAUUUACUUUAAAACUCAUGUAAAUAAAUUAAUUCAAAACAAGACAAUCACAUAUUGAACUCUUUGCAUCGUUUUAUAUAGCCUUUUUUUUUCAAUUUUUUUCUUCUGAGAAUUUGAAUUUUUUACCAAUCAACCCUCUGAGGCCAAAGAAGAAAGAGAUAACCAUAGAGCUUAAAAGGGACACCUUGAUAUAAAACAAUACACUACUGUUACAUGUAUACAUGUGACAUGUUUGUAAAUUUGUUUGUCCUUGUAUCAUUUGCCAAUUGAUACAUAAUACAAAUGUGGACAUUUCAGUAUUUGGUUUUUUUUGUUGCGUUUUUAUGCAAAUUGAAGGUACAAUAUAAAUUUUUUGUUUUCAAUUUGUACAUCACAGUGUGCCCUCUCAGAAAAUGAGGGCCCCUGAGCGCCCUAAUCAAAAUGUACCCAAAUGCCAUUAGUGGCUCAGGAUUUUAAUGCAUAGCUCAUCAUACAUGCAUGAUGUGAUUAAGAAUGUAAUGUGGACAGUUAUUAAGAAAAAAAUCGCUUUGCAAAUAAUGUGAAAAACAUUCAUUUAAUUGGAAUGCAUGAUAUAUGCAUGCAUACAUACAUGCACUUAAGUAUUCUUGAUGUGAAAUAAUUACACAGCAUACAUGUACAUGUAUAAUUGAAUUGACAGUACAUGUCGGAUAGUGCAAUAUCCUUAUAUUAAAAAAAUAAAGUGCUGUGAAUAUUUGAAAAAACUUGCCUUACACAAAAUAGACUUUUGUGAAGCUUGCCUUAGAUUUGAAAAGCAUACAUGUGUACAUGUGCCUCUAUCACAAUGCCAUUAUAUAGUGAUAAAGUACACGUAUGACUGUGUAUGCACAUAUUAUAGUACAUGUUCAAUAUAAGCUUGAGUAAGUCCCUUACAUGUAUUUCGACUGUGUUAAGAGUUUAUGGAUCCUACAAUAGAUCUAAUCUAGAUUUUAUAUACAUGUAAUUAUAAAAAAAUAUUCUAUAUUUGUUCAAAAAAAAAAUCAGGUUUUACCAAUCAGUGUAUUUACAGUAUAAUGUGUUUAGAGUUCCCCAGUCAACAGAAAGCUUAAAUUCCACUAUGAUGGAAGUUAGAACACAGAGUGUGUACCAGUAGAUUCAAAUCACAAAGUGUAUUUUUCUCACAAGCUCUCAGAAAUCCAAAACAUUUAAGUUUCCAUUUCCCUAAGUGUGCAGUGGUUGAAACAUUCAUUAUUGAGGAGCCAUAAGCUACUGAUUGAAAUUACUCUCUGUGGGUUCAUUUUGGAUUGAUUCUCCUAAGGGUAUACUCAGCCAGCAUGUACCGGUACAUGUACAUGUAUGCUAUGAUGUGUAUGUGAUGUGCACGGACAAGCAUUGCCGUACUGUGCACAGGAAGCAGGGCCAUUUCUCCUAAUACCGGUACAUGUGUAGUUUCUAUCAGCUCAUCUUUUCUGCCGGGCAGUAUUGACGACCACUCUCUUUCGUGUAGAAAUGGCUUGUCAUACAAAUUGAUUCUGUCAAGUGCAGUUUACAUGUACUGGUACCUCUGAACGUUUGUCAAGUUGGUGUUCAGGGACAAGGAGAAGCAAAUAUGGUAUUUCAGUGAUCAAAUGGUGUACUGUAACAUUAGAUUGAACAGAGCUCAGGUCAGGGUAAGACCAACAGGUAUGUUUUCAUCAAUAACAAAUGUAAGUGGAUUGUCUUUUAGUUUGAAUGGUAACUCAGUUAAGCUUUUCAGUCUGGAAAACUGGCUUCUUUAAUUGUGCAAUAGGGAACUGCAUGUAAUCUGUUGUUCACUGUCAAAAACUCAGGGUGUUUAUAAAAGUGGAAUGCACAAGUCUUGCCAUAUCUGUGACAUAAUCAAGCUUGAAAGAGGUCUGCUUUGGUCAUUUGCUAGUAAUUACCAGCAUUUUGUACAUGUACGGGGUAACAUGUACAUGUAUGUGCUCAAACGAGCAGCCUGUAUUCCUCAAUUAUACAAUAUGAAGAUGAUCUGCCUAACAAAAUGUUGCAACUAGAACUACUUGUCCUCAGUUGUAUAGCUGUUUUUAUGUCAAUUCUUUUUCACUCGCUUGUAAUUAAGGUUAAUCGUAAUCUUGACAUUUUGCCAUCUUGUUGAGAUGUUUAUAUUUUAUGUGCUGGUACCAGAUUUGUAUACUGAUGGAUGACAGAGAAUUUCAAAUGUCACUUUUUUAAUAACUGCGUGCAAUUAAACAAUUCAACAAUGUAGAUUCCAAAUUUAUUCUCAGCCCAUAAUACUGUCGUUGCAUCAUCGGCACUCAAAACUUUAGUCACAAAAUGGCAAAAGUAUGAUAAAGUUGCUCUCCAACAACAAAGGGUUGGGGUGUGGAUAUUAUGCACACAGCAAUGGCAUCAUACGUGUGUGCUUUCUGAAACUUGAAGUACAUGUACAUAGUAGGCCUACUGGUACAUACUUGUAUGUAUCCAUUGACAAUGUGUGCAUUUUGGCAAGUCACCACACCCUAUUGAGCUAAGAGGUUCAGGACAGAUACAUGUAAUGUACAUAUGUACCCAGUGUUCUCCAACUUUGAAAAGUAAAGGUUGGUGCUGGGUUUGUGACCAAUGCGAGCUCAUUUUCCCUAGGCUUUUUUGAGCUAAAGAUUUUAAGAAGACUUCAAUUUAUUUAGCACAGAAUUACUAAAAAGAAAUUCAGUUAAAAGAUCAGUACCAGUGAGUACAUGUAUCCGCAUUCCACAGUUUCAUGUAUUUUCAAUUAUUGAUUGAGAAAGACAUGUUCCAAGGGAUCUGGGUUGUAAAAGUAUUAAAAUCGACUUUAUCCCUCACUUGUUUGAAAAAGAAAGUGUUUCUUUUUUUGUUCAUCCAUUCAGACAUCCAUUCCUCAAUUUUCUUCACUUCCAAAUAUUGUUGAAGACAGAACCUAUUGUAAAAAGGAUCCGGGUGGCUGAAAUGUGUCAAAAGCAAGAUGUUUCUCAUGUUAGUUAUUGUAAACCGACAAGUAUUUAACAACUAAUCCAAGUCCCAAAUCAGUGAGGAGACGUGGAACGCAAACCGACGGCCCAGCCUUGCGCCACUGCUGUCCGGUGGGGGUAAUUUAGAACAUGAAAUUACAGUAGGCCUGUAUGAUGAACCCUUACCUUUGUUAGAUCGAUGCUCUAACCACGAGUACUUUUGGCUCUAUCACAAAAUGAAUCUCUGUGUUUGCGUCUUGUUUGGUCAUCUCCUUGCUCUUUUGGCUCAGGAGGCACUGUUGGUCCUUGGGGGGUCCAGGGGGAACAAAUCCAAAGGCAAUUAGAGUAUUUUGUUUUGCCAUGAUGCGUACAACAUGCACACCGAAAACAGACCACGAACAUGUACAGUGUAUGUACUCAACAAGUCUGCAAGCACGAGCUCUGAACACUGAGAAGCAGGCGUAUUAAAUUUGCAAGUGUUUCUUUUUGUUUCAAGUAAGCCUGGUUAUUCUGGGAUAUUGAAUCAUCAGUAAUCAGGCCACCCAGACAGACGCCGUUGUGGCCAGCGAAGGAAAGUUCACUAGUGUGCUGCUUACCGACGUAUUUUAAAAAUAACGUUUUUCAUUUCAGUGGAAAACAUACCAUGAGCAAGUCUUGUCCAGGGUAGAAGAAUGCUAAAUAAUGUCAUCAGCAAAAAUAACUUGAACAAAAGCUCUUAUUAGUAAGCCUUGAGACUGGAUGUUGAGGGUUUUAUCAAAGGUUUAAUCAUACAUAAUGAAAAGAACCUGACUGUGAAACACAAUGAAACACAAUCUUCAUCUUCAUCUCUAUCAUGACUAGUAUUAGUGUGACUUGGCUUUGUGGUGAACAAAGAUCAGGAAGGAUGACCCUGUGGACUGUAGGCCUGCUCAUGCGUAGCUGACGCUCACUACUAUAUCAUGAUUCUGCCACAGCACAUCAAACAUAAUACAUACACAUAUGUACACACGUAGCCUACACACGCGAACAUUGCACGGAUCAAGUGUACAUCUGGUUACCAGGCAAUCACACUAAUACAACUAUAUAAUCAAAUUACCAGGCCAGACUAAAUUUGUUGCCAUGUGGGGUGAUGUACAUGUACAUGUGUGGCGAUUUAAGCAUGGGGUUGCCUUGUGUUGCAAACUUGAGGACAGGUUAUGGCCACAUAUCUCCAUCCACUAAUGGUGGGCGUGGGUUUUGCGUUAUCUAUGCCUUGAUUGGUAUCC
Molecule: unclassified non-coding RNA, 7671 nt
Filed under: Acanthaster planci (crown-of-thorns starfish)
Lineage: Eukaryota; Metazoa; Echinodermata; Asteroidea; Valvatida; Acanthasteridae
Description: potassium channel subfamily K member 16-like, transcript variant X2
Source: RNAcentral